GGUUAAUCUUUAAAUGACUUCAAUUAUUUUUCUUGCUUAGAAGUGGGUUCAUUCUCAUGCUCCGAGUUUUGAAUUUUCAUUACUUGAUUGGGAACGAGACCCACUCUAGUACCUCGGUAUUUAGGGGUGCAUUAGGUGGACAAUUGUCCCCUUUUGUUUGGUGUAGGUGGUUGUACUUAUCUCUUUUUUUUAAAACUAUUUUUGCAUAUUGACGGUGGUCUUGGUUUUCUCUUAAAAUUUUCUCUUUUUUUUUAUUAAUAUAUAUUAAUAUGUUUACCAUUAAAAAAUUAUUCAGGAAUAAAGAUGAUAGACUAGCUCACCAAAAACAUCAGAGGUUAGGAAAGGCUUGAUUGUGACAAAUCAAUUAAAGGUUAGGGAAGACUUGGCUGCGAUAAGUCAAUGAAAGAUUAGGUCAAGAGAUUUAAGAUAUAAGUUCCGAAAGAAAGAAAAAAAUCAGAAAAGAAGAGAACAAAGAUAUAUAAAAAAUAAGCCUCGAAGGAAGGUAUGAAUGAUGGGACAGGGAUUAAUCCCUCUUUUCUAGUGAAUACUAGGUAAAGUGACAGAGAAGUAUAAUGAUGUACUUAAGUAGGAAUAUAUCAUCUUAUUUCAAGAAUCCAUAGUAAAGUAGGUUAAAAUGGAGACCAUAAUACUAUGCUUUUUUUAUGCAUAAAAAAAAAAAUUUCAAAGUUUGUUAUUAAAUUAAAUGAUGAUAAUAGGCGCACUAAUAAUAUUAGGCCUAAGAGGAGGUAAUUUUUUUUAUAAGCAAAUAUUUAUUGAUACGAGUAGGGGUAUUCCAACCCAUACAACAUUUGAUUUUCUGAUCCCAACAUCAUAGUGGGGAAUCUCUAACCAAAUGAAGAGUUGCAAAGAACCUUAAGCCAGAUCCAAACAUUUUUAAAUUUAUUUUAGUUUCAUAUUACAUGCACUUUACAAUAUUGAUGUUUAUUACAUUACAAAUAUCAAGUUGUAGCUUCUCAAAAGUCACAACCAACUCACAUUGCGAAGUGAUACUGAAUCAAAAUAUAUACCAAGGGGUUCACAAUUUCAUAUUCAACUCAUGGUGGCUUUUUAAGUUGAUUGAUGGUUACAAUAAUGCUCCAAGUUCAACUUCAAGGACUCUCUAUAAAUACUGUAACAUCUAUCAACAUUAAGGCUAUGUUUGGGAGUUUGGAGGGGAAGGGAGGGGAGGGUUUUGAAAAAUAGGAAGAAUUGGGUGAAAAAGCUAAAAAGAUUUUGGGUAGGAGGGUUUUGGAGGGUUUGAGUUUAUUCAUAACAUCAAAAACCCCAUAAAAUGGGGGAACUCAAAAAUUGUAUUGUAGAAGGGUUUUGGAGGGUUUUGAAGGGCUUACCUAAAUUUUCCAAAUAUCUUUUAGGUUGUUAUAGUAUUAUGAAAAUAAAACAUUUAUUAAUUAUAAUGACUCUUUUAUCAUUCUAAACAAAAUCAUUUUUUUAAAAUAUGUCAAAUAAUUUCCUAUAUUUUUUUAAAAUUUCAUUUUUGGAAGCCUUCCCCUCCCCUCCCCUCCAAACUCCCAAACAUAGCCUAAGAUAUCACAUAAUAACCACUUGCAUAUUCAUUGUGUAGAGACAAAAAUAUUUGUAACAAUGAUGAAGAAAACAUUUGUUGGCAUGUGUUUCUUUCUCAUUAUUCUCUUAGCUACUCAAGAAGCAGUUGCGAUAUUUAAGCCAUGUGCGAAACCUAGCAGAUUGUUUGGUGGUAAAUGCAAAGAUUCAUCUGACAAUAAACAAUGUGGAAAUGUUUGUACUGGAGAAGAAUAUUCAGCUAGUGGUUCAUGCAAUAACCAUAUGACAUGCAUUUGUUAUCACUGUUGAAUGUCUUCACUUUGAGUUUCUAUAUUAUAGAUUAGAGUUCGAUAAACACAUGGCUGCACUUUUAGACUUAAUAUUUCAAACUAAUUAAAAACUGUUGAAUGGUUUUUGAGUUU
This is a long non-coding RNA of Vicia villosa (hairy vetch), 1943 nucleotides long. RefSeq lists it as uncharacterized. The record is from RefSeq and is a predicted model, not a curated record. Lineage: Eukaryota; Viridiplantae; Streptophyta; Magnoliopsida; Fabales; Fabaceae. The transcript is spliced from 2 exons.